This 1416-nucleotide ribosomal RNA is filed under the name Triticum aestivum (bread wheat). Its description in RNAcentral is "partial small subunit ribosomal RNA". Lineage: Eukaryota; Viridiplantae; Streptophyta; Magnoliopsida; Poales; Poaceae. The record is from RNAcentral.
AUGGGCGGCCUCCGCCUCUCCGCCUGGGCCGCCGCGCCCUCCCCCUCCCCCUCCUCCGCCGCCGCGCGGGGCUUCCCGCGGUCCCCGCCGGACUGGCGCGGGCUGGAGCGCGGGAGUGGGCGCGGGCGCCGCAGCCGCUGCGCCCCGUCGUCCCCGCCCUCGGCGUCGCCGGCGCUGUCCCUGGGCGCGGCCGGCCGGCUCCGGGUCGGGGCGGACCGCGAGUGGCUGUGGGACUGCCGUGGCGGCGGCCUCGGGGGAGGAGGGGGGAAGAAGGACUACGCCAAGGAGAUGGAGGCGGCGGUGCGCGUCGUCCAGGUGGCCUGCACGCUGUGCCAGCGGGUGCAGGACUCGCUGCUCCUUGCGGACCCAGGCUCCGGCUCUGCCGGCGUCCACUCCAAGCUCGACCGCUCUCCGGUCACCGUCGCCGAUUGGGGCGUGCAAGCGACAGUCAGCUGGCUACUCUCAGAUUGCUUUGGUGAUGAAAGUGUGUCGAUCGUAGCAGAGGAAGAUGAUAAGACACUGUCUAGUAGCGACGGCACGGCUUUGCUUGAGUCUGUUGUCUCUGCAGUCAAUGGUUGCCUGGUUGAAGCUCCAAAGUAUGGGCUGAGAUCCCCGGAGAAAGACCUCGGGGCUCACGAUGUUCUUCAAGCUAUACGGAAGUGCAGCUCUACCGGGGGUCCAAAAGGAAGAUUUUGGGUGCUUGAUCCUGUGGAUGGCACACUUGGUUUUGUGCGUGGGGACCAAUACGCCAUUGCCCUCGCCUUAAUUGAAGACGGGGAAGUUGUGCUUGGUGUUCUCGGGUGCCCAAAUUAUCCAAUGAAGAAGGAAUGGCUCAACUACCACCAACGAUACUACAGGUUGAUGUCUAAGGUUGCUCCCCCUACAUCAGGAUCGUGGAACAAGGGUUGCGUGAUGUAUGCUCACAAAGGAUGUGGCCAGGCUUGGAUGCAGCCAUUGGUUCAUGACUUCGGUAUGCUUAGUUGGCAUAACUCAAGGGAGGUUCAAGUAUCAUCCGUCAGUGAUCCAGUUUCAGCAACAUUCUGUGAACCUGUUGAGAAAGCCAACUCGAGCCAUUCCUUCACUGCAGGACUUGCCCAUAGUGUAGGCUUAAGAAACCAGCCUCUGCGUGUGUACAGCAUGGUGAAAUAUGCUGCAAUAGCACGAGGUGAUGCUGAAAUCUUCAUGAAAUUCGCUAGAGCUGGAUACAAGGAGAAGAUAUGGGAUCACGCCGCAGGGGUGGUCAUCAUUCAAGAGGCUGGUGGAGUGGUAACAGAUGCCGGAGGUUGCCCGUUGGACUUUUCCAGGGGUGUUUACUUGGAGGGUUUGGACAGAGGCAUAAUAGCUUGUUCCGGAGCGUUGCUUCAUCAGAGAAUUUUGCAAGCUGUUGAUGCAAGUUGGAACUCAUCAACGUUGUAA